This 274-nucleotide ribosomal RNA is filed under the name uncultured archaeon. Its description in RNAcentral is "partial 16S rRNA". It matches the Rfam family "Archaeal small subunit ribosomal RNA", at positions 1047 to 1325 of the family's 1478-position model. The record is from RNAcentral.
GAGACCUGUACCUACAAUUGCCAUCGAACUAUGUGAUCGGGCACAUUGUAGGAACUGCCUUGGAAACAAGGAGGAAGGUGCAGGCAACGGUAGGUCUGUAUGCCCCGAAUCCUCUGGGCUACACGCGCGCAACAAUGGUAUGGACAAUGGGAUGCAACUCCGAAAGGAGAAGCUAAGCCUCUAAACCAUAUCUUAGUCCAGAUUGUGGCUUGUAACUCAGCCACAUGACGUUGGAAUCCCUAGUAACCAGGUGUUAUCAACGCCCGGUGAAUAU